AGAGUUUGAUCAUGGCUCAGCGCGAACGCUGGCGGCAUGGCUAAAACAUGCAAGUCGAGCGCGAAAGCCAUUUCGGUGGCAAGUAGAGCGGCGAAAGGACGAGUAAUGCGUUCCUACGUACCCCGAGGUCAGGGAUAGCCCAGGGAAACUUGGAUUAAUACCUGAUGUGGUGCUUCGGCAUCAAAGGCUUGCCGCCUCGGGAGCGGGGAACGUCCUAUCAGGUUGUUGGUGAGGUAAAGGCUCACCAAGCCUUAGACGGGUAGCGGGUGUGAGAGCAUGACCCGCCGUAUCGGGACUGAGACACUGCCCGGACUCCUACGGGAGGCUGCAGUAACGAAUCUUCCGCAAUGCGCGAAAGCGUGACGGAGCAAUGCCGCGUGCAGGAUGAAUCCCCUCGGGGUGUAAACUGCUGUCAGGGUUUAGCAACACAAUGAGCAGACCCAAAGGAAGGGCCGGCUAACUUCGUGCCAGCAGCCGCGGUAACACGAAGGGCCCGAGCGUUGCGCGGAAUCACUGGGCUUAAAGCGUACGUAGGCGGGCAUGCAGGCGUCUUGUGAAAGCCCUCGGCUCAACCGAGGAAUUGCUCGACGAACCGCAUGUCUUGAGGCAGGUAGGAGCUGUCGGAACGAUAGGUGGAGUGGUGAAAUGCGUUGAUAUCUAUCGGAACGCCGAAGGAGAAAUCAGGCAGCUGGGCCUGUCCUGACGCUGAGGUACGAAAGCGUGGGGAGCGAACGGGAUUAGAUACCCUGGUAGU
This 754-nucleotide ribosomal RNA is filed under the name uncultured bacterium. RNAcentral describes it as "bacterial SSU rRNA". It matches the Rfam family "Bacterial small subunit ribosomal RNA", at positions 8 to 794 of the family's 1533-position model. The record is from RNAcentral.